AGGGAAGGGGCAGUGACACAGCCUCAGACCCCAGACUCUGGGCCUGGAGACACAGAGUUGGGAGGCCCCGUCCCUGCUGCUGAGGACUGCUCAGCGGUGGGGUGGGGCCCUCACAGAAAAGCUGUGGUCUCCCAGGCCUGGCUGGAGAAUUAAUGAUCAAAGGAUGUGAAUGUGUAGUAACAGCAGCAGUUGGGCCGGGAGAACUGGUUGUUUUACAGAAGCUAAAAUCCCCACCAAACAGAAGGAGCUGAUUGAAUGAUGACCAUGAACACACGGCCCAGGGACCUACUGGAUCCUGAAGACUGAUAAUGUUAACCCCUGUGAUCCUGCCCUAUUACC
Molecule: long non-coding RNA, 339 nt
Organism: Bubalus bubalis (water buffalo)
Lineage: Eukaryota; Metazoa; Chordata; Mammalia; Artiodactyla; Bovidae
Exons: 3
Source: RefSeq, a predicted model, not a curated record